AGUCUAGCAUGUGCGCGAGUCAUUGGGAAUUAAUAAACCUAAAGGCGCAAUGAAAGUGAAAGUCUGUUUACGCGGACUUAGGGAGGAUAGGUGCGUACACAUUGUGUACAACCUCGCACUCCCGGGGCGUCUCGCACUCAUUGCGAGGUGGGGCGCACCAAGAGCGUACACGCUGGGACCCGAAAGAUGGUGAACUAUGCCUGGUCAGGACGAAGUCAGGGGAAACCCUGAUGGAGGUCCGUAGCGAUUCUGACGUGCAAAUCGAUCGUCGGAACUGGGCUUAGGGGCGAAAGACUAAUCGAACCAUCUAGUAGCUGGUUCCCACCGAAGUUUCCCUCAGGAUAGCUGGCACUAGAUUAUGGAUGAGUCUCAUCCGGUAAAGCGAAUGAUUAGAGGCAUUGGGGUCGAAACGGCCUCAACCUAUUCUCAAACUUUAAAUGGGUGAGAUCUCCGGCUUGCUCGAUUUGUGAAGCCGGAGAUCGGAUCAAUUAGUGCCAAGUGGGCCACUUUUGGUAAGCAGAACUGGCGCUGUGGGAUGAACCAAACGCAGAGUUAAAGCGCCAAAAUCGACGCUUAUGGGAUACCAUGAAAGGCGUUGGUAACUUAAGACAGCAGGACGGUGGCCAUGGAAGUC
This 634-nucleotide ribosomal RNA is filed under the name Carabus morbillosus alternans. RNAcentral's name for it is "eukaryotic LSU rRNA". It matches the Rfam family "Eukaryotic large subunit ribosomal RNA", at positions 672 to 1262 of the family's 3401-position model. Lineage: Eukaryota; Metazoa; Arthropoda; Insecta; Coleoptera; Carabidae. The record is from RNAcentral.